CUACCGCCCCGGGGAUCCUGAGCCCACGUCGCGCUCACCCUUCUCCUUGGUCAUAAUGGAGAUGAGAGGCAUCCGCGGGCGGUCACUGAACACUUCAGCCUGCUGCACUAGCGCCUCGCGCACGCUGUGGAAGUCGCUGAGGACCACCACCAGACGGUGGCCGAUGAAGAAGCUGAAGAUGUUGCCAUAGACACGGGCCAUCCUGGCCAGGUACACAUGCUGGCCCACCGUGUCCGUCUGGCUGCCCGAGCCCAGCCAGAACUGCGGUCGUAGAAAGCGCGGCACCAGCAAGUGCCCGAAGUUACCCACGAGUGGCCGAGGCUUGGGCCCCGGAGGGAUGCCGUAUGCGCGCUGCCGCCGCAGCCAAAUCCAGCCUAGCAGCACCGCCAGCACGCAAAGCAGCAGCGCGCCUCCUAUCGCCCGCACGUGCAGUCUAGCUCCCGGCUGCUCCCCUGCCGCGGGACGCUGGCCCCCGAGCGAGGACAUGCCCCAGGUACUGCCUGUAUCUAGCUCCGCCGCAGAGACGCCAGCACCGGCGACAGUAGCCGGCUACAUGACUCGAAGGUCACCCGCGAGGCAGGGCAAGGCACGCCCUUCCGAUUGGCUGCGCCGCGUGCCCCUCUCGGCAUCCUCCAGUCAGCUGCUCUUGCAUAAGAAGUCAGCUGUCAUGUUGGUGAAGUAUCUGAGACUGCUUAAAAAACUGAACAAGUCAGGAUGGACUACUGGGUCCGAGACAAAGGGCUUUAUUUAUAGUACAUGGACAUGGUAGCAGCCCAUGUGAGCAUGUCACUUUGGACUCCCUAGUCCUCCAACAAGGUCCACAGUAAGGGACACUGAGGAAGUCAAGGUGGAUGCUACAUAGGUAGUGUCUGCAUCUCCACUGAGUAACUCUGAACUUGCAUCCCUGUCAUGCCCAACAAAUAUAGAUUAAGAGGGAUGCUGAGGGCCCAUGGUAGGAUGCAUUUGGAUGAAACAAAAUCUAGGCCUAACUGUCCAUAGAAAUAAUUACCUUCCUGUGUCCUGGAGUGAUGCUGGUGAGUGAUCUGAACUUUUCAAUAUAUGAGUCGGCAGCUGUGUUAGUUCUUUUUCUGUUGCCAUGUUACAAUACCAUGACCAAGGCAACUUAGAGAGGAAAGCAUUUGACAGUUUCAGAGGGGUAAGACUAUGUCAUGGGGAUACAUGGGGGCAAGCCGCAGGCAUGGAAGCAGGGGCAGAAAGCUGAGGGCUCAUCUUGAACUGCAAGCACAAAGCAGAGAGUAAACUAGAAAUGCACGUUUUUUAACUCUGGAAGCCCACCCCAUGCACCAUGCCUCAGCUCCAAUAAGGCCACACCUCCUGAGCCUCUCCAAAGACACCACCAACUGGGGGCCGUGGAUUCAAAUGCCCAUGAUGGGGAACAUCUCAUUCAACAGUAGUUAUCGGUGAGUUGGCACUGCAUCUCAACAGCAGGACUGCAUCUAUCAGCAGCUCUGGUGACAUGCACAUGCUGACACUCAGAUACCUGGUGAACAAAGCUCGGUUUGCUGUCUUCCUAUCUCUCAGGAGAUAAAAAUGUCAGGUUGAAUAUCAUCACAGCGCUCCAUUACCUCUAGACAGAAUGGCAUCAUUAUCUGGAGUGAAUGAAGGCUCUUUGUAAGCCCAUGACCACAGAGAUCUCUGAACAGAACACCCUAUAAUCUCGGAGCUGAGCCCACUGUUAAAACAGGCACAGAGGCGACACUGUUCCACUCCCCAGUGUGGUGGGGAUAGGUUGUAAAACUCUGCCAGUGACACUAGUGGAAACUUUGAUCCACGGUCGCUGUCUAGUCCUCGUGCUGGGACUCGCAGGCACACUAUGACUCUAAAAUCAGUAACUGAAACACAAGCUUCUCACCCAGCAUGGGUGGCAACCAACUUUUCUACGACCACUCUCAUUUUCAUUUUAUGUUCGUUAUUGCUCAGGAGCCUUGCACACGGUUCGGCCAUGUGAAGCAUCCCCUUGGCUCUACAAUGGAGGCAGCUUAGGGAGUGAGCAGGGGCCCUUCCCUCAAGCACUUCUUAAAGCACUGGGAGAACUUGAUGCUUUCACAGGAAGCCCUGUGAGCUUCAUACCAAGAAAACAAGAGGACCAAUCAGCCUGUUGGUGGGAGCUCUGGACUGCGCUUAAUUCAAUGGACCAUUCACAUCAGUACCACACACUGUAGACAAGCACGGCUGAGGCUGAGGCUGAGGCUGAGGCUGAGGCUGAGGCUGAGGCUGAGACUGCCACAGCAGUUGGCCUGUGAUCCGGAGACGACGUCAUCACUGGGAUGAGCUUCCCUGCCACCCUGGCAGAUAGGACACAGGCUCUCUGUAGACCUUUGCUCUGUCAUUUUCAGACCGCACAGGGAUAAAGGCUGCACCACACCCAGCAACCCCAUCUCUGAGCCCUUUGUCUUACCUAGCUCCGCCCAUCCCAUUAGGCUGCAUUUACAUAGUCAUUUCAACUUCAUCAGGGAGUCCAAAUGUAACCUUCUGAAGCCUGCCUUGGACAUGGCUAGGGGUCCACUUGAGGUCAUUACACAAAGGAUCCUGUUGUGACAUUUCCUGCAGAACUUGGGGGCCAGGAAAGAACCUCCUUGUAUUGAGGGGUUAGUGAGCUUGCUUCUGUCAACAGCAAUAAUCAUAAACUUGGAUUGUAUAACUGAUUUUUUUCAUCCAUAAAUGUCCUAAUUUUUUAACCUUAAAAUUUGUUGGUAGGAAAAAUAAUAAAUUUUAGUUUACUU
This 2744-nucleotide long non-coding RNA is filed under the name Mus caroli (Ryukyu mouse). Its description in RNAcentral is "RIKEN cDNA 4930534D22 gene (MGP_CAROLIEiJ_G0003451.1)". The record is from RNAcentral. Lineage: Eukaryota; Metazoa; Chordata; Mammalia; Rodentia; Muridae.